RNAcentral lists this transfer RNA (74 nucleotides) under Tenacibaculum dicentrarchi. RNAcentral describes it as "tRNA-Met". It matches the Rfam family "tRNA". Rfam says of the family: Transfer RNA (tRNA) molecules are approximately 80 nucleotides in length. RNAcentral also lists the same sequence under 2 other names. The record is from RNAcentral. Lineage: Bacteria; Pseudomonadati; Bacteroidota; Flavobacteriia; Flavobacteriales; Flavobacteriaceae.
GGCGAGAUAGCUCAGUUGGUUAGAGCGCAGGAUUCAUAACCCUGAGGUCGGCAGUUCAAAUCUGCUUCUCGCCA